CUGGUGCUGAUGGUCGGGGACUAAAUGCUUUCAAUCACCCUUUCUCUUCUAGUAAAUAUAUAGUUAAGUAGGUAACAGACACAUUAUUGUCACUGGGAUGCUUGCUUUCAUAAAAGCUUGUAGUUUAGGCUGAAGGCCUUGAUGUCUGUGUCUCUUCUCCUCCUCCGCCUCCCUUCUUUGUAAAGCUUUGCAAGCUCAGCAAGUUUCCUCCUUAAAAUCAGGCUGUAAGAUUUUGUGUUCUGGAUAUUAACGAUUGUUGAAUCAGUAAUCAUUAAGCUGCAAUUCAUUGUUAUGUAGUUAGAUUGGCCUUUUAAUUAUUUCUUCAUAUGCUAUGCCCCAAGCUGUUACUGGUCCUUGCAAUAGAAGCUUCCACUGCCUUUCUGGCCACAGACGCAGAAAAUACUCACAACUUAGUCUCAACUGCUCUGAACUCAAGGGACCAUGAUGGGCAUUUUGAAGAAGUCACUUAAAAUAAUAAUGGAGCCUAUGCAAGCUUCUCUGCAGAGCUGGAGAGUGGAGAUGGUCUCAUACGAGCUAUUUCUUCAGUGUCACAGCUAACAUUGCAUGGUAGAACUACCAUUAAGAUAAUUAUAUCUUCAUGUCUUCCCCAUCCAGUUUUUGAGAUGAAACCAUGAGAACGCAUAUUGCAGCUGACUUGCUGCUGUUACCAAGCCAGCCGAAACUGAAAAUCACCGGUUUAAAAAUGACUGGCUCAGUCUGGCACCAUAAGCAUUGGUGGCUCAUUACCUACAUCAUGAUGGUGCACCAAUGAUUAUAUAUUUCAAACAUUCCAAAUUCAGAAUUCUGUAUACACUCAGAAUAUUUACACAGCAGUUAGUCAUGCAUUGACAACAGUAGCCUUUUGGCAACAUAUACUUUUUGGAACUUGCCAGAAUAUCAAUUUCUGCUAUGAUGAUUCAAAUGAAUUUAGGAUACAGUCACCAUGAAGAUGACACUGGACUAAAGAUUAAUGUUGCUUUUGAA
Anas platyrhynchos (mallard) is the source of this 984-nucleotide long non-coding RNA. RefSeq lists it as uncharacterized. The record is from RefSeq and is a predicted model, not a curated record. NCBI's taxonomy places the organism in Eukaryota, Metazoa, Chordata, Aves, Anseriformes, Anatidae.